This is a non-coding RNA of Caulobacterales bacterium 68-7, 73 nucleotides long. Lineage: Bacteria; Pseudomonadati; Pseudomonadota; Alphaproteobacteria; Caulobacterales. The record is from Rfam.
GGGUGCAUAGCUCAGUUGGUAGAGCAGCUGACUCUUAAUCAGCGGGUCGUAGGUUCGAAUCCUACUGCACCCA